Molecule: ribosomal RNA, 721 nt
Filed under: uncultured organism
Description: bacterial SSU rRNA
Rfam family: Bacterial small subunit ribosomal RNA
Source: RNAcentral
CAUCAGCGGCGAACGGGUGAGUACACGUGGGUGGCUUGCCCCGAAGAUGGGGAUACCUCGUGGAGCGGGGGCUAAUACCCAAUGUGCUCGGUGAUUCGGUUCAUCGAGUAAAGCUCCGGCGCUUCGGGAGAGGCCUGCGGCCCAUCAGCUAGUUGGUAGGGUAACGGCCUACCAAGGCAGAGACGGGUAGGGGGCGUGAGAGCGCGGACCCCCACACUGGCACUGAGAUACGGGCCAGACUCCUACGGGAGGCAGCAGUAAUGGAUAUUGCGCAAUGGACGAAAGUCAGACGCAGCGACGCCGCGUGGGCGAUGAAGGCCUUCGGGUUGUAAAGCCCUUUUAUGGGGGAAGAGAAAAAGGACGGUACCCCAGGAAUAAGUCCCGGCUAACUACGUGCCAGCAGCCGCGGUAAAACGUAGGGGACAAGCGUUAUCCGGAUUCACUGGGCGUAAAGAGCGUUGAGGUGGUUCCGUAAGUUGGGCGUGAAAGCUCCGGGCUUAACUCGGAGAUGUCGUUCAAUACUGCGGGGCUUGAGGACAGCAGAGGAAGGUGGAAUUCCCGGUGUAGUGGUGAAAUGCGUAGAUAUCGGGAGGAACACCCGUGGCGAAGGCGGCCUUCUGGGCUGUUCCUGACGCUGAAGGCGAAAGCUAGGGGAGCGAACGGGAUUAGAUACCCCGGUAGUCCUAGCUGUAAACGAUGGAUGCUGGGUGUGGGGGGUGUA